AUGUCUAGUUCACCUCCUCCGGACGCCGGCGGGUCGCCACCGGUUACUCCAUCUCCGACGCCGCCUGUUACACCAGUUACUCCAUCUCCGACGCCGCCGGUUACGCCGGUGACUCCAUCUCCUCCAGACAAUCCCGUCGUGACGCCUCCGGUGGCUCCAGUGAAUAGCCCACCUCCUCCAGACACUAGCAUGUUUAAUCCGCCUCCUCCAGUGACUCCAUCACCACCGCCUCCGGAAGCCACUCCCCCGCCUCCUGUGACUCCAUCACCACCUCCUCCGGUAGCCAUUCCGCCUACUCCGGUGACUCCAUCACCACCUCCUCCGCCUCCGGUAGCAAUUCCGCCUUCUCCGGUGACUGCUCCACCACCACCUCCUCCGGUAGCAAUUCCACCUUCACUGCCUCCUCAGGUAGCAGCUGUUCCGCCUACUACCGCGAAACCCCCGACCAUCGUAAAUCCUCCAGCGCCGGAACCUUCAGUACAACCCCCGGUGAAUUCUCCUCCACCGCCUCCACCGUCGCCACCUCCACCAAGGCCGCCGACGCGGCCAAACCCAACGCCAGUUACGCCGUCGCCGCCUCCACCAAGGACCACGCCAACGCCAAACCCAACGCCAGCAACACCGUCCCCACCUCCACCAAGGCCAACUCCAACUCCAACACCAACACCGACGCCAACUCCUCCCAGGCCGCCGCCAUCAUCCCCAGCUCCGCCGACGGACGUGCCACGUUCAUUUCCACCACCGCCUGAUGCCACGCCACCACCUCCUGAGGACGUCCCAUAUUCACCGCCGGCCCCGAACGACGCCCCAGCUGAACAAGCGCCUCCGCCGUCAGCUCUAACGUGGUCUCCGCCUCCUCCGCCGCUCUCAACGGACGUGCCGGCGACCUUGGCCAAGUCCUCGUCAAGCAGCAGGACCACGGUGGGCUUGGGCGUGGGCGUGGCCGUCGGGGCGGUGGUCUUGCUCGGCCUCGCGGCCGUCAUCUUCUUCUUCCUGGCCAGGCGGCGCCGUCGCCCUAGGGUGCCCCCGUCCGGCACUCCAGCGGAUUUCUUCUACGACCCGAGGCAGCCGACGACGCCGCUGCAGCAGUCGCACCCGCUGUCGACGCCGUCGUCGACGCCGCCGCUGAUGCACUCGUGGGCGCAGAGCAGCGGCGGCGACCCGGGCGGGCCGCCGCUCCCGGCCAUGACGGGCGGCACGUUCGGCUACGACGAGCUGGCGGCGGCGACGGAUGGGUUCGCAGAGGAGAACCUGCUGGGGCAGGGCGGGUUCGGGCACGUGUACAAGGGCACGGUGAAGGGGCAGGAGGUGGCCAUCAAGAAGCUGCGCGCCGGCAGCGGGCAGGGCCACCGCGAGUUCCGCGCCGAGGUGGACAUCAUCAGCCGCGUGCACCACAAGAACCUCGUCUCCCUCGUCGGCUUCUGCAUCCACGCCGAGCAGCGCCUCCUCGUCUACGAGUACGUCCCCAACAAGACCCUCGAGUCCCAACUGCACCACGGGAGCGCCCGCGCGACGCUGGAUUGGCCUCGCCGGUGGAAGAUCGCCGUCGGCUCGGCGAAGGGCCUCGCGUAUCUGCACGAAGACUGUCAUCCUAAGAUCAUCCACCGUGACAUCAAGGCGGCCAACAUCCUCCUCGACUACAACUAUGAGCCCAAGGUCGCAGAUUUUGGGCUGGCAAAAUGCCAAGAAGCAGAACAUACUGCUGUUUCUACGCGCGUAAUGGGAACUUUUGGAUACCUGGCUCCGGAAUAUUACGCCACCGGCAAAGUAACCGACCGGUCCGACGUCUACUCCUUCGGCGUGAUGCUUCUGGAGCUCAUCACCGGACGGAAGCCUAUCAUGGCAUCCUCAGAUCACCAGCCAGAAACAUUGGCUACUUGGGCAAAGCCCCUGCUGACCAAGGCCUUGGAGGAGGAAAACUACGAGGAGCUGAUCGACCCGGAGCUGGGGACCAACUAUGACGCCUACGACAUGGCGCGACUCGUCGCCUGCGCCGCCGCCGCCGUGCGCCAGACGGCGCGCUCUCGCCCGCGGAUGGCACAGAUCGUUCGGUACCUGGAGGGCGAGCUGUCGGCGGAGGACCUGAACGGCGGCAUGGCGCCGGGCCAGAGCGCGAUGCAUCGCUCAGGGGGCGGCAACACGGACGAAGUCAGGCGGCUCAGGAGGAUGGCGUUCGGGCCGGGCACCGGGACGGCCGGCGGCACCAUCAGCGAGUACGCCAGCAGCGAGAUGAGCGCGCCGACCAGCGAGUACGGGCUGAACCCGUCCAGCGAGUACACGGCCAGCAGCGCGGCGGACACGGAGGACAUGACGGACUUCCCGCACAGAGCCGGCACCGGCAGGGGCGCCGCCGAGGGGGCCAGCGGCGAGGCGGGACGCGGAACCACGGAGGGGUUCAGCAGGCGCACCACUGGCAGACGUACCAGCCGGGGGUGA
Molecule: ribosomal RNA, 2436 nt
Filed under: Triticum aestivum (bread wheat)
Lineage: Eukaryota; Viridiplantae; Streptophyta; Magnoliopsida; Poales; Poaceae
Description: partial small subunit ribosomal RNA
Source: RNAcentral